This is a long non-coding RNA of Meriones unguiculatus (Mongolian gerbil), 1053 nucleotides long. RefSeq lists it as uncharacterized. Lineage: Eukaryota; Metazoa; Chordata; Mammalia; Rodentia; Muridae. The transcript is spliced from 4 exons. The record is from RefSeq and is a predicted model, not a curated record.
UCUUCCUUCCUCACCUCUUGGAAGUGAAAUUUUCAAGUUUAUUGAAAUGCCUUAAAAAAACAAAAAAACAAAAAAAGACAGGAUCUCACGUAGCUCAGGCUGUCAUCGAUCCUGCUAUGUAAGAGAAUGACGCUGAACUCACAAUCCUUUUCUCCUCUCCACCUCCCUCCCAAGUACUUAAGUGAAUUUGUUCAAGACUUUGCAACUCUCCAAUGAAGCAGUCCCCUAACAACACACCCCUUCCUAUUACUGGGCUCAUCGAUGGACUCCUUCCUGAUCCAAUAGUUGGGUCUCCACCUGCUUGGCUGGAAUUGCCAAAGCAAGACUAACCCCAGCUUACUGAGUCCCCCAACUAAUAGCUGUCCCACGUCGCAGGCAGUCGUGUAGGCCUUGAGGUUGCUGUUCUCUUCCAGCAGCCCUGCUCCUUUGGCACAGCUUCAGGCAAAGGAAGGAAAGGCCGGGCAGCACCACACCCAUCACUAGGGACCUGACUCAGUAAAGCUUUGGGGACAAGCCAGACAUCUUUCAGGGACAGGAGGACCAAGAGAAGAUAGGGUCUGUCCCUUGCCUAGUUGUCUCCUUUUGGGAAGAUGAAUUCCCACGUGUUUACUCUCUUGCCCUUUGCCCUACUGAAUCAGCGGACACUUCCAGGGAACCAAACAGUAACUGGGUCUAAUGCAGAGUGGGAAGCCAGAGAUGACUGUGAGACUGCCUCUAGCUUCAUGAAUCUAUGACAGAAUGGGGGCCAGUCACGGCCUCACUUCCACUCGAGUUUCUGGAGAAAAGAGAGAAAGGGAGGUAAGGAGAACAUGGAAUGAAGAAACGCUGCCCUGCCUCCCCUGCUGGCAGACAGACCUGCAAAGAUGUCAGCUGAGCCCACCUGCUGGACCCACCUCGCUUUCCCCACCCCCUCAGGGACAGUCUAUUGCUGCCCCGGAUAUCGUCUGAGAUAAGUGGUCCAGGAAGCGAGCCAGGAGGCACACACCUGCAAUCCCAGCACACGGGAGGCAGAGGCAUUAGGAACAUGAGUUCCAGGCCAGCCUUGGCCCUACG